GUGGGGUAAGAGCCUACCAAGGCGACGAUCAGUAGCUGGUCUGAGAGGAUGAUCAGCCACACUGGGACUGAGACACGGCCCAGACUCCUACGGGAGGCAGCAGUGGGGAAUUUUCCGCAAUGGGCGAAAGCCUGACGGAGCAAUACCGCGUGAGGGAGGAAGGCUCUUGGGUUGUAAACCUCUUUUCUCAGGGAAGAAKAAAAUGACGGUACCUGAGGAAUAAGCAUCGGCUAACUCCGUGCCAGCAGCCGCGGUAAUACGGAGGAUGCAAGCGUUAUCCGGAAUGAUUGGGCGUAAAGGGUCCGCAGGUGGCAUUGUAAGUCUGCUGUUAAAGAGUUUGGCUCAACCAAAUAAGAGCAGUGGAAACUACAAAGCUAGAGUGUGGUCGGGGCAGAGGGAAUUCCUGGUGUAGCGGUGAAAUGCGUAGAUAUCAGGAAGAACACCGGUGG
RNAcentral lists this ribosomal RNA (449 nucleotides) under Dolichospermum sigmoideum 9BU29S2. RNAcentral's name for it is "bacterial SSU rRNA". It matches the Rfam family "Bacterial small subunit ribosomal RNA", at positions 252 to 715 of the family's 1533-position model. Lineage: Bacteria; Bacillati; Cyanobacteriota; Cyanophyceae; Nostocales; Aphanizomenonaceae. The record is from RNAcentral.